UGCAGUCGAGCGGAUCUUUCCUUCGGGGAAGGUUAGCGGCGGACGGGUGAGUAACACGUAGGCAACCUGCCUCCAAGACCGGGAUAACAUGCGGAAACGGAUGCUAAGACCGGAUAAACAGUUUUGUCGCAUGGCGAAGCUGGGAAACACGGUGCAAGCUGUGGCUUGGAGAUGGGCCUGCGGCGCAUUAGCUAGUUGGCGGGGUAACGGCUCACCAAGGCGACGAUGCGUAGCCGACCUGAGAGGGUGAACGGCCACACUGGGACUGAGACACGGCCCAGACUCCUACGGGAGGCAGCAGUAGGGAAUCUUCCACAAUGGGCGCAAGCCUGAUGGAGCAACGCCGCGUGAGUGAGGAAGGCUUUCGGGUCGUAAAGCUCUGUUGCCAGGGAAGAAUAAGGGUUUGUUAACUGCAAGCCCGAUGACGGUACCUGAGAAGAAAGCCCCGGCUAACUACGUGCCAGCAGCCGCGGUAAUACGUAGGGGGCAAGCGUUGUCCGGAAUUAUUGGGCGUAAAGCGCGCGCAGGCGGUUCUUUAAGUCUGGUGUCUAAGUGCGGGGCUCAACCCCGUGAUGCACUGGAAACUGGGGAACUUGAGUGCAGAAGAGGAGAGCGGAAUUCCACGUGUAGCGGUGAAAUGCGUAGAGAUGUGGAGGAACACCAGUGGCGAAGGCGGCUCUCUGGACUGUAACUGACGCUGAGGCGCGAAAGCGUGGGGAGCAAACAGGAUUAGAUACCCUGGUAGUCCACGCCGUAAACGAUGAGUGCUAGGUGUUGGGGGGAUCCUCCUCUCGGUGCCGAAGUUCACACAUUAAGCACUCCGCCCUGGGGAGUACGGUCGCAAGACUGAAACUCAAAAGGAAUUGACGGGGACCC
This 876-nucleotide ribosomal RNA is filed under the name uncultured bacterium. RNAcentral's name for it is "bacterial SSU rRNA". It matches the Rfam family "Bacterial small subunit ribosomal RNA", at positions 56 to 922 of the family's 1533-position model. The record is from RNAcentral.